GACUCCUUAGCUCAGUGGUAGAGCGUGUGAUUCCAGUCCACAAGGUCGUGCGUUCGAUCCGCCCAGGAGUCA
This 72-nucleotide transfer RNA is filed under the name Armillaria ostoyae. It matches the Rfam family "tRNA". From Rfam's summary of the family: Transfer RNA (tRNA) molecules are approximately 80 nucleotides in length. Their secondary structure includes four short double-helical elements and three loops (D, anti-codon, and T loops). The record is from RNAcentral. Lineage: Eukaryota; Fungi; Basidiomycota; Agaricomycetes; Agaricales; Physalacriaceae.